Molecule: ribosomal RNA, 226 nt
Filed under: uncultured bacterium
Lineage: Bacteria
Description: partial 16S ribosomal RNA
Rfam family: Bacterial small subunit ribosomal RNA
Source: RNAcentral
UACGAAGGGGGCUAGCGUUGCUCGGAAUCACUGGGCGUAAAGGGUGCGUAGGCGGGUCUUUAAGUCAGGGGUGAAAUCCUGGAGCUCAACUCCAGAACUGCCUUUGAUACUGGAGAUCUUGAGUUCGGGAGAGGUGAGUGGAACUGCGAGUGUAGAGGUGAAAUUCGUAGAUAUUGCAAGAACACCAGUGGCGAAGGCGGCUCACUGGCCCGAUACUGACGCUGAG